CAGGAAGUAAGCAGUUAUAAAAAUAACUUUGGAACUUCCACUAUUUCUCGGUAAAGCAUUAUUAGUGCUUGCUAUUGUGAUUUCUCAUCAAUUGUGACCAAGAUCUUAAGCAAGUACAGAGAGAACUCUUUCUUUCUUUCUUUCUUUCUUUCUUUCUUUCUUUCUUUCUUUCUUUCUUUCUUUCUUUCUUUCUUUCUUUCUUUCUUUCUUUCUUUCUUUCUUUCUUUCUUUCUAGUAACUUAGAAUACAGGUAACCAGUUAUAUAAGUAACUUUGAAACUUCCUCUACUUCUCAGUAAAGCAUUAUUAGUACUGUAAAAGGAGAUUCAUCUUGCUCAUCUUGAGAUCACACACGACCAAGAUCUCUAACAAGUACAGAGAGAACUGUUCUCUGGACAAAAUGAGAAUUACAGGUCAUCUUUGAAAUCCUGCUGAUUUUCACAAAAGCUGCCAUGGGUUUCAUGGUGGUGUUUUUGUCUGUGUGGAUCUUUCAAGUCAUCAUCCUGCUGUCUCUGUUAGUGGGAGCAUACAUCUACCCCAGAAUCUACAGGAAACAGAGGACACCUGAGAUUCAGGAAGCUCUGUAAACCUGGAUUAGGAACAGAAGAAGCAGAUCUCCUCUAUACAAGCAACCAUCAAUCUGUGUCUCAUUCAGACUGAAACAUGAGAAAAUAUAACCAUCAAUAACAGAUGGCUAACAGACAACAUAAAUGUAAUUCCUCAAUCCACACCUGGACUUUGCUUUUUCUUUUUCUUUUUCUUUUUUUUUUUAAACAAAAACAACAAAAAAAAACUAAGUCAGUCUCAUGAUUCCUGCAGAUUCAUUGAGGAACCAAGUGCUAUUUUUUAGAGUUGCUUCUGUUAUGCUUUAUUUCUAAUAUUCUCAAAAUAAUGUAAUACUUUGAUGCAGUUGUUACAAACAUGCCAACAAUGCUUUUGUGGAAAUGAUUUUAAUAGAGUUUUUGAAAUGUAAAUUCAAUUUCUGUAACUGAACUAAAUGAUUUUUAUCACUAUAAAAAGUCAAAACGAUAGUGGGCGUGGUGCACCGGUGGGCAAGUGAUGUAAUCGGUGUGCGGCCAAACACCGGUAACACAGCAAGCCUAAUAUGGAUGCUCCCAGUACCUUAUUUUUUUUUAAUCCUGUAAAGAAAAAUGUCCAACAAAAUGAUGUGCCAUUUGAGUCUUUCAGAUGGAUCCAUUACAUCAAAUCCUGCAGCAAUAAAGAGGAUGGCAAGAGUUGUUCAGUUGUUCAGUGUGGAGAGCUGUGAGACUGAAAGUGCAGAAGAGUUGCUCAAAAAUUGCCUCAGCUUGAAGAAGAACAGAGAAAAGAUUUGGAUAGUAUAAACAGCUUUCAAAAAAAAAAAAAAAACCUUUCUGAGAAAAGUGGUUCCCCUCUGUGCGGAGACUGAUCUAUAGAUGAAAUUUGUUAUACAUAAUGAUGACUGUAAAAUACAUCACCAGCAUCACUGUAGGGCUUUAUAAAUACUCACAUUGUAAUAUAUGUGAUAUAAUAUAUACCUAUAUAUAGGUGAUAUAAAAAACGAAACCAAGAUAAAUCUCAGAUCUUUCUCUACAUUUUAUGGGAUAUAGCAACCAACACAAUUUGAGUGAAAAACAAAUAGAAACGUUUUAGGAAAAAACAGACAAAGAAAAAACUAAUGAUAACCUGCUUGCACC
Molecule: long non-coding RNA, 1675 nt
Organism: Ictalurus punctatus (channel catfish)
Lineage: Eukaryota; Metazoa; Chordata; Actinopteri; Siluriformes; Ictaluridae
Source: Ensembl